CGCGAUUCGCCCUUCGGGGUGCAGCAGGCGCGAAAACUCUACAAUGCAGGCAACUGCGAUAGGGGAACAUCGAGUGAUCCUCAUAUUGGGGGUCUGUCCACCCGUCUAAAAAACGGGUGUUAGCAAGGGCCGGGCAAGACCGGUGCCAGCCGCCGCGGUAAUACCGGCGGCUCGAGUGGUGGCCGAUAUUAUUGAGUCUAAAGGGUCCGUAGCCGGCUUUGCAAGUCUCUCGGGAAAUCCAGCGGCUUAACCGUUGGUCGUCCGGGGGGUACUACAUUGCUUGGGACUGGGAGAGGUAGGAGGUACUCAGGGGGUAGGAGUGAAAUCCUGUAAUCCUUUGGGGACCACCGGUGGCGAAGGCGUCCUACCAGAACAGGUCCGACGGUGAGGGACGAAAGCUAGGGGCACGAACCGGAUUAGAUACCCGGGUAGUCCUAGCCGUAAACGAUGCUCGCUAGGUGUCACAACAGUCGUGAAUUGUUGUGGUGCCGUAGGGAAGCCGUGAAGCGAGCCACUUGGGAAGUACGACCGCAAGGUUGAAACUUAAAGGAAUUGGCGGGGGAGCAC
Molecule: ribosomal RNA, 567 nt
Filed under: uncultured archaeon
Lineage: Archaea
Description: bacterial SSU rRNA
Rfam family: Archaeal small subunit ribosomal RNA
Source: RNAcentral